This 105-nucleotide small nuclear RNA is filed under the name Sciurus vulgaris (Eurasian red squirrel). Lineage: Eukaryota; Metazoa; Chordata; Mammalia; Rodentia; Sciuridae. The record is from RNAcentral.
GUUCAGUUUGACUGCAUAUAUCCUUAUAUUGGAAGGAUGCAUAGAAGAUUAGCAUGGCCCCUGCACAUGGAUAACAUGCAAAUUUAUAAAGCACACCACAAUGAG